AUUGAACGCUGGCGGCAGGCUUAACACAUGCAAGUCGAGCGGGCCCUUCGGGGUCAGCGGCGGACGGGUGAGUAACGCGUGGGAACGUGCCCUCUGGUUCGGAAUAACUCAGGGAAACUUGAGCUAAUACCGGAUACGCCCUUUUGGGGAAAGGCUUGCUGCCGGAGGAUCGGCCCGCGUCUGAUUAGCUAGUUGGUGGGGUAACGGCCUACCAAGGCGACGAUCAGUAGCUGGUCUGAGAGGAUGAUCAGCCACACUGGGACUGAGACACGGCCCAGACUCCUACGGGAGGCAGCAGUGGGGAAUAUUGGACAAUGGGGGCAACCCUGAUCCAGCCAUGCCGCGUGAGUGAUGAAGGCCUUAGGGUUGUAAAGCUCUUUUAUCCGGGACGAUAAUGACGGUACCGGAGGAAUAAGCCCCGGCUAACUUCGUGCCAGCCGCCGCCGUAA
RNAcentral lists this ribosomal RNA (449 nucleotides) under uncultured bacterium. RNAcentral describes it as "partial 16S ribosomal RNA". It matches the Rfam family "Bacterial small subunit ribosomal RNA", at positions 30 to 523 of the family's 1533-position model. The record is from RNAcentral.